This 114-nucleotide small RNA is filed under the name Salmonella enterica subsp. enterica serovar Dublin. RNAcentral's name for it is "RtT sRNA". It matches the Rfam family "RtT RNA". From Rfam's summary of the family: This family represents a bacterial cis-regulatory element known as RtT RNA. The exact function of RtT is unknown although it is thought that it may be involved in changing the cellular response in relation to amino acid starvation. Lineage: Bacteria; Pseudomonadati; Pseudomonadota; Gammaproteobacteria; Enterobacterales; Enterobacteriaceae. The record is from RNAcentral.
UGAAGCCUGACGAGGAUGAGAACCUCCGGGGGCAAGAGGUUCGACUCGAGCGAAGCGAGAGAACGUUGCGUCAGCAACGGCCCGCAGUGGCAAGUCAUCCUCUGUCACCGGCAG